AUUCCAGCUCCAAUAGCGUAUAUUUAAGUUGUUGCAGUUAAAAAGCUCGUAGUUGGAUUUUGGGUUAGGGUGUCCGGUCCGCCGUUUCGGUGUGCACUGGGCGCUCUUUCCUUUCUGCCGGGGACCGUUGGGUGUCUUAAUUGCCAUCCCCCGGGAGUCGGCGUUGUUACUUUGAAAAAAUUAGAGUGUUCAAAGCAAGCCAUCGCUCUGAAUACAUUAGCAUGGAAUAACAUGAUAGGACUCCGCUCUUAUUUUGUUGGUUUCCGAGACUGGAGUAAUGAUUAAGAGGGACAGUCGGGGGCAUCCGUAUUUCAUUGUCAGAGGUGAAAUUCUUGGACUUAUGAAAGACGAACUUCUGCGAAAGCAUUUGCCAAGGAUGUUUUCAUUG
This 388-nucleotide ribosomal RNA is filed under the name Prasinoderma sp. RNAcentral describes it as "partial small subunit ribosomal RNA". It matches the Rfam family "Eukaryotic small subunit ribosomal RNA", at positions 582 to 975 of the family's 1831-position model. Lineage: Eukaryota; Viridiplantae; Prasinodermophyta; Prasinodermophyceae; Prasinodermales; Prasinodermaceae. The record is from RNAcentral.